RNAcentral lists this ribosomal RNA (510 nucleotides) under uncultured Glomus. Its description in RNAcentral is "SSU rRNA". It matches the Rfam family "Eukaryotic small subunit ribosomal RNA", at positions 569 to 1081 of the family's 1831-position model. Lineage: Eukaryota; Fungi; Glomeromycota; Glomeromycetes; Glomerales; Glomeraceae. The record is from RNAcentral.
AGCAGCCGCGGUAAUUCCAGCUCCAAUAGCGUAUAUUAAAGUUAUUGCAGUUAAAAAGCUCGUAGUUGAAUUUCGGGAUCAAUCUGUUGGUCGUGCCUUUGGUACGUACUAGCUUAUUGAUUUCUCCCUUCUGACGAACCAUGAUGUCAUUAAUUUGGUGUCAUGGGAAAUCAGGACUGUUACUUUGAAAAAAUUAGAGUGUUUAAAGCAGGCUCACGCUUGAAUACAUUAGCAUGGAAUAAUGAAAUAGGACGUUUUGAUUCUAUUUUGUUGGUUUCUAGGAUCGACGUAAUGAUUAAUAGGGAUAGUUGGGGGCAUUAGUAUUCAAUUGUCAGAGGUGAAAUUCUUGGAUUUAUUGAAGACUAACUACUGCGAAAGCAUUUGCCAAGGAUGUUUUCAUUAAUCAAGAACGAAAGUUAGGGGAUCGAAGACGAUCAGAUACCGUCGUAGUCUUAACCAUAAACUAUGCCGACUAGGGAUCGGAUGAUGUUAAUUUUUAAUGACUCAUUC